Non-coding RNA from Schistocerca gregaria, 73 nucleotides. The record is from the annotation of a RefSeq genome assembly. NCBI's taxonomy places the organism in Eukaryota, Metazoa, Arthropoda, Insecta, Orthoptera, Acrididae.
GCACGGCUAGCUCAGUCGGUAGAGCAUGAGACUCUUAAUCACUUGGUCGUGGGUUCGACCCCUACACUGUGCG